This 232-nucleotide long non-coding RNA is filed under the name Anser brachyrhynchus (Pink-footed goose). RNAcentral's name for it is "lncRNA (ENSABRG00000000601.1)". Lineage: Eukaryota; Metazoa; Chordata; Aves; Anseriformes; Anatidae. The record is from RNAcentral.
CUGCAGAGAAAAUGGACAGUGGUGGACAAGUCCCACAAUACAAAAUGUGGUAGGAGCUCCCACAACACAAGGAAGAUGAGAGAAGAAGAGUACUUUCCACUACGGGCAGUGAACUUCAGGAGGUGGUGAAAAAAGUCAAGAAGAAAAGACUCCUGUCUGUGACUGAGAGCACUCCUACACAAGUCUGACACAGUUGGUGUGAGAUACCUGCAUGGCUUUACCACAACUGACC